RNAcentral lists this ribosomal RNA (433 nucleotides) under uncultured bacterium. RNAcentral's name for it is "partial 16S ribosomal RNA". It matches the Rfam family "Bacterial small subunit ribosomal RNA", at positions 29 to 507 of the family's 1533-position model. The record is from RNAcentral.
AACGAACGCUGGCGGCAUGCCUAACACAUGCAAGUCGAACGAGACCUUCGGGUCUAGUGGCGCACGGGUGCGUAACGCGUGGGAACCUGCCCUUAGGUUCGGAAUAACUCCCCGAAAGGGGUGCUAAUACCGGAUAAUGUCUUCGGACCAAAGAUUUAUCGCCUUUGGAUGGGCCCGCGUUGGAUUAGCUAGUUGGUAGGGUAAAAGCCUACCAAGGCGACGAUCCAUAGCUGGUCUGAGAGGAUGAUCAGCCACACUGGGACUGAGACACGGCCCAGACUCCUACGGGAGGGAGCAGUGGGGAAUAUUGGACAAUGGGCGAAAGCAUGAUCCAGCAAUGCCGCGUGAGUGAUGAAGGCCUUAGGGUUGUAAAGCUCUUUUACCCGGGAUGAUAAUGACAGUACCGGGAGAAUAAGCUCCGGCUAACUCCGUG